UACGAAGGGGGCUAGCGUUGUUCGGAAUUACUGGGCGUAAAGCGUGCGCAGGCGGUUAUGCAAGACAGAUGUGAAAUCCCCGGGCUUAACCUGGGAACUGCAUUUGUGACUGCAUAGCUGGAGUACGGUAGAGGGGGAUGGAAUUCCGCGUGUAGCAGUGAAAUGCGUAGAUAUGCGGAGGAACACCGAUGGCGAAGGCAGUCCCCUGGACCUGUACUGACGCUCAUGCACGAAAGCGUGGGGAGCAAACAGG
Molecule: ribosomal RNA, 253 nt
Filed under: uncultured bacterium
Lineage: Bacteria
Description: partial 16S ribosomal RNA
Rfam family: Bacterial small subunit ribosomal RNA
Source: RNAcentral